Molecule: transfer RNA, 122 nt
Filed under: Limnobacter sp. MED105
Lineage: Bacteria; Pseudomonadati; Pseudomonadota; Betaproteobacteria; Burkholderiales; Burkholderiaceae
Description: tRNA-Asn
Source: RNAcentral
GUUUGACAAGGCGAGAGGCUUUGAGGCCUUGCUGAUAUUGACAGUGCAACCACUUGCUUUCUUGUCGAUGCGUUCUUGCACGUUGGCGGAUAAACACAGCGGAUCAUAUUUGUUGUCAGACU